RNAcentral lists this ribosomal RNA (478 nucleotides) under uncultured Bifidobacterium sp. RNAcentral's name for it is "bacterial SSU rRNA". It matches the Rfam family "Bacterial small subunit ribosomal RNA", at positions 173 to 666 of the family's 1533-position model. Lineage: Bacteria; Bacillati; Actinomycetota; Actinomycetes; Bifidobacteriales; Bifidobacteriaceae. The record is from RNAcentral.
CUCCGACUCCUCGCAUGGGGUGUCGGGAAAGAUUUCAUCGGUAUGGGAUGGGGUCGCGUCCUAUCAGGUAGUCGGCGGGGUAACGGCCCACCGAGCCUACGACGGGUAGCCGGCCUGAGAGGGCGACCGGCCACAUUGGGACUGAGAUACGGCCCAGACUCCUACGGGAGGCAGCAGUGGGGAAUAUUGCACAAUGGGCGCAAGCCUGAUGCAGCGACGCCGCGUGCGGGAUGACGGCCUUCGGGUUGUAAACCGCUUUUGAUCGGGAGCAAGCCUUCGGGUGAGUGUACCUUUCGAAUAAGCACCGGCUAACUACGUGCCAGCAGCCGCGGUAAUACGUAGGGUGCAAGCGUUAUCCGGAAUUAUUGGGCGUAAAGGGCUCGUAGGCGGUUCGUCGCGUCCGGUGUGAAAGUCCAUCGCUUAACGGUGGAUCUGCGCCGGGUACGGGCGGGCUGGAGUGCGGUAGGGGAGACUGGAA